RNAcentral lists this ribosomal RNA (499 nucleotides) under uncultured bacterium. RNAcentral describes it as "bacterial SSU rRNA". It matches the Rfam family "Bacterial small subunit ribosomal RNA", at positions 24 to 518 of the family's 1533-position model. The record is from RNAcentral.
UCAGGACGAACGCUGGCGGCGUGCUUAACACAUGCAAGUCGAACGAGGAUUACAUUGGAAGGGCUUCGGCCUGGAAGAUGUAAUCGAGUGGCGGACGGGUGAGUAACGCGUGAACAAUCUGUCCCGGACAGGGGAAUAACACUUGGAAACAGGUGCUAAUACCGCAUAAGACCACGCCCUCGCAUGGGGGAGGGGUAAAAGGAGCAAUCCGGUUCGGGGUGAGUUCGCGUCCGAUUAGAUAGUUGGUGAGGUAACGGCCCCACCAAGUCGACGAUCGGUAGCCGACCUGAGAGGGUGAUCGGCCACAUUGGAACUGAGAGACGGUCCAAACUCCUACGGGAGGCAGCAGUGGGGAAUAUUGGGCAAUGGGCGAAAGCCCUGACCCAGCAACGCCGCGUGAGUGAAGAAGGCUUUCGGGUUGUAAAGCUCUGUUAUAGGGGACGAAGGAAGUGACGGUACCCUAUAAGGAAGCCCCGGCUAACUACGUGCCAGCAGCCGC